CGGUUACUGGGUUCGAAGCAGAAAGGACCGGGCAUCUGAACGUACCUGUUGGGUCACACAGAGACAGUCUCUUAUCAAACAUUCUGAUAUGACGUUGUUCUGUUUUGAGUUGUGGGAAAGCCUCAUGGCCCUAUAAGGUUAAAAGGAAAUGAAACCAGCAAAAUACAAGUGAAAGAAAUCAAACAUUUGACCCAAAUGUCGCACAGAGUGAAGAGCCUCACUGGCCCAGACACAAACCAGCAUAAACACCUCCAGUCAAAAUGCUGAACAAACACACAGGGACCGGAUGAAACAGGGAGGUCUGGGAAUCCCUGAUUGGAACAGAGAGAGGUGAACCGGGUGUCUGUCAGAGGGCCCCUGACUGGAACAGAGAGAGGUGAACCAGGUCUGACUGGAACAGAGGCAGGUGAACCGGGUCUGACUGGAACAGAGGCAGGUGAACCGGGUCUGACUGGAACAGAGGCAGGUGAACCGGGUCUGACUGGAACAGAGGCAGGUGAACCGGGUCUGACUGGAACAGAGGCAGGUGAACCGGGUCUGACUGGAACAGAGGCAGGUGAACCGGGUCUGACUGGAACAGAGACAGGUGAACCGGGUCUGACUGGAACAGAGACAGGUGAACCAGGUCUGACUGGAACAGAGACAGGUGAACCAGGUCUGACUGGAACAGAGACAGGUGAACCGGGUCUGACUGGAACAGAGAGAGGUGAACCAGGUCUGACUGGAACAGAGACUGGCUGUGUUCCAAAACGAAUUUCUAACAGGUCUUUGAGAAAAUUAAGGAAGGCUUUCUGCCACCUCUCCAGUCUCACUACUCUCAACAAACAGAGUGAUCUAGUCUCACUACUCUCAACAAACAGAGUGAUCUAGUCUCACUACUCUCAACAAACAGAGUGAUCUAGUCUCACUACUCUCAACAAACAGAGUGAUCUAGUAUACAGCCAUUGUGAAGACGCUGAUCCAGUCUACAGCCAUUGUGAAGACUGUGAUCCAGUCUACAGCCAUUGUAAAGACUGUGAUGUAGUCUACAGCCAUUGUGAAGACUGUGGGGCGACACACAAUUGGCCGAGUGUCAUCCGGGUUAGGGAGGGUUUGGCCGGUAGGGAUAUCCUUGUCUCAUCACGCACCAGCGACUCCUCUGGCGGACCGGGUGCAGCGCACGCUAACCAGGGUCGCCAGGUGCACGACACAUCGGUGCAGCUGGCUUCCUCAUUCAGUCUUCAACGAGUUCCGGAGGGCCUCAUUCAGUCUUCAACGAGUUCCUGAGGGCCUCUUUCAGUCUUCAACGAGUUCGGGAGGGCCUCAUUCAGUCUUCAACGAGUUCCGGAGGGCCUCAUUCAGUCUUCAACGAGUUCCGGAGGGCCUCAUUCAGUCUUCAACGAGAUCCGGAGGGCCUCAUUCAGUCUUCAACGAGUUCCGGAGGGCCUCAUUCAGUCUUCAACGAGUUCCGGAGGGCCGUACUGAAAAUGUUUUAUAUUUCCUCGUCGUCAAAAUGUGCUAAAAAAACUUCUCUGUUCAUCGUUUUUAACAUUUUCGAUGCUCCCUGACUGUCUAGAGUUCUUUUCAGUGAUUAUUAGUGAACUGGGCCCAGUCAAUAAACUGUAUGAAUGUAGUGAUUAUUAGUGAACUGGACCCAGUCAAUAAACUGUAUGAAUGUAGUGAUUAUUAGUGAGCUGGACCCAGUCAAUAAACUGUAUGAAUGUA
Oncorhynchus tshawytscha (Chinook salmon) is the source of this 1704-nucleotide long non-coding RNA. NCBI's taxonomy places the organism in Eukaryota, Metazoa, Chordata, Actinopteri, Salmoniformes, Salmonidae. The record is from Ensembl.